GGCCGUGUAGCUCAAUGGCAGAGCGUCUGACUACGAUCAAGAAGUAUCGAGCGAUACUUUGUGUGUGAUCAGAAGGUCGCAGGUUCGACCCCUGUCUCGGUCA
This is a non-coding RNA of Metarhizium robertsii ARSEF 23, 103 nucleotides long. NCBI's taxonomy places the organism in Eukaryota, Fungi, Ascomycota, Sordariomycetes, Hypocreales, Clavicipitaceae. The record is from Rfam.